Molecule: unclassified non-coding RNA, 2152 nt
Filed under: Hevea brasiliensis (rubber tree)
Lineage: Eukaryota; Viridiplantae; Streptophyta; Magnoliopsida; Malpighiales; Euphorbiaceae
Source: RNAcentral
GAUUGUGAAUGUGGCAUAUUGGGCCAACAGCUUUUGUUUUGAAACGGGAUUGGGCCGAUAGACAAACAAUAGAAUUAGAAGGAUUAAAAAAAAAAAUGGGCCUCACAACGGUUUCGAGGCCGAAUUCUUGUUUGGUAAUUUUCUAAGUAGAGCCCAGAACAUAAUGGCUCCAGUUUUUGUGGUAUCGGGAAGCUGUACAACAAGCGCACAAAAAUAAUACCCCCUAUAUUAAAAAAAAAUAUAUAUGGUAUAACCUCAUAUCAUGAUAAAAAAGAAUGCAUAUACACCAAAAAUACUAAAUAAUCUCUUAUCACUGUGAUUCAUCGGAGUUUGGAGAUUUUCAAAAAUGAGCAAUACGACCACCAGAUUGAUGCACAUAUCUCUUGCUCGCUUCAAUUUGCCAUAACUCGUGGCAUUAAAAUGUUCCCUUGGCUUGCCCAAUUGCAUAUGGCUCUCGAGUUAUAUCCAAGUAAUCAAUCAAGUGCUUCCUUUAUCCCCUUGUGGCAGUUACGCAUAAGAUCAAAUGCUGCGAAAACUCUCUCCUAUAAGUUGAAACCUCCAUCAACUUCUUCUUAGCUGAACAGAGGAUAAUUUUAUUCAACAUCGGAUAAUAUACAUUCGUGAACUGGUUAAAAUACAGAGGUUAGAUCCUUCUUCUAAGACCCAAUUGUAUCCAAGAGCAGGCUUGUGACCGCUAUGGGACUCUUGACCACAUAUUUAUCUUUAGAGUCAACCCAGCUUAGAUAACCAAAAAUCGUACCUUCUUCAAUCUUUCUUGGACCUUCUAUGACCAGUUUGUAGCUUAGCUUCUCGUUCUUUGCUUUGAACUCCAGCUUGCUAGGCGUGACACUAAUAUUUAAACCUUUCAUGCGUGUUAAAUUUGCAGUAUAAGUUGACAUUUCCUCUCCCACAUUGGUUACCGUCCUGUGAAACUCUUGGACAGUGGUCAUAUUGGAUUCAGAGUCCCUUGCAUUGAAGUAGGCAAGAAAGGAGGGGUAGUUAAGGUCCAAGGAUGGGGAGGAACAAUCGUUAGAAGGUGAUUUUGUGAUAGUUUGGAUUUGCUCUUUGGUGAAAUUUAAUGCACAGAGCAGUUUCACAUAAUCAGUUGAGUUCACGUCAUAAAUAAGCCCAGGGUCUAGCGCCUUGUUGGGAUUAAUUUGGCCUGCUCCCAUAUCUAAAGGAGUAGCUGGCUGGUUUGCAUAGCCAAUAUCUUUGAUAGGCCCAAACGUGUGAUCCGUGGUAUCAGCAGUGGUCAUCAUCGCUGACCUGAUAGCUGCGGGGCUCCAGUCAGGGUGUGCCUUCUUCAAGAGUGCCGCUACUCCUGCUGUGUGCGGGCAAGCCAUGGAUGUCCCAGACUCUAGAUUGAAGUUUCUGAAUGUUCCAUCAGCGUUGAUCAGUUCCAAUAAAAUAUUUUCAGGCCAUGCAGCUAAGAUUAGAGAACCUGGAGCCAUAAUGUCAGGCUUCAACACUGAGGGGCAGCUUAGGGAUGGUCCUCUGGAACUAUAGCUAGUAAGACUUGGAGCUAAUUUAUUAUCCAGAUUUGUUUUCUUAAAUUCCAUGUUUGCUUGUGGUUUGGAACUGCUGUUGAUGUAACUUUUGAUGGUUUCUCCAUCUUUCGGAUUUACAAAUAUUGCUGGAAAUUGGGUGGGGAUGAAGGAUUCAAGGUCUAUGGAAUUGGUUAUGAAAAUAGCUCCAGUAACAUUUGCAAUGCCGAUGUUUUCAAAUUGAUCCUCCAGGGAGGUAUUCCCCUCUUCGCAGACAACAAUAUUGAUUUGCUUAGCAUCAAACAAGUCCUGCAGAUCGAAACAUUCGCCCUUGAAAACAAUUGGAAUUUGGAUAGAAGAAAAAUUCCCUCGAUAGAGAGCUAUGCCAGUGACUGAAACUCCAUUUCCAAGUGUCAAAACACCAUUAAAUUCACGAUCUGUAGUGCCAGCAGCAACAGUUAGCACCCAAGGUGCGCCAUUAUGGAGUGACCCAGGGAAAGGCCCAUCAUUUCCUGCAGAUGUUGACACAAAUAUAUUGUUUUCCAUAGCUGCAAAUGUAGCCAAGGCAACUGGGUCUUCAUUCAAAGUGAACCCUUUCAAUCCCAGUGAAAUGGAUAAUACAUCUACUCCAUCAAUAAUUGCUCGAUCAAUUGCAGCAAUUAUAUCAG